This 365-nucleotide ribosomal RNA is filed under the name Corynebacterium striatum. RNAcentral describes it as "bacterial SSU rRNA". It matches the Rfam family "Bacterial small subunit ribosomal RNA", at positions 1062 to 1426 of the family's 1533-position model. The record is from RNAcentral. Lineage: Bacteria; Bacillati; Actinomycetota; Actinomycetes; Mycobacteriales; Corynebacteriaceae.
GUGUCGUGAGAUGUUGGGUUAAGUCCCGCAACGAGCGCAACCCUUGUCUUAUGUUGCCAGCAUUUUGGUUGGGGACUCAUGAGAGACUGCCGGGGUUAACUGGGAGGAAGGUGGGGAUGACGUCAAAUCAUCAUGCCCCUUAUGCCCAGGGCUUCACACAUGCUCCAAUGGUGGGUCCAAGGSGCAGCGACCCUGUGAGGUGGAGCGAAUCGCUGAAAGCCGGUCUUAGUUCGGAUUGGGGUCUGCAACUCGACCCCAUGAAGUCGGAGUCGCUAGUAAUCGUAGAUCAGCAAUGCUGCGGUGAAUACGUUCCCGGGCCUUGUACACACCGCCCUUCACAUCAUGAAAGUUGGUAACACCCGAAG